Molecule: ribosomal RNA, 379 nt
Filed under: Eumanota suthepensis
Lineage: Eukaryota; Metazoa; Arthropoda; Insecta; Diptera; Mycetophilidae
Description: partial 16S ribosomal RNA
Source: RNAcentral
UCGAAGGUAGCAUAAUCAGUAGUUUUUUAAUUGAAAACUAGAAUGAAUGGUUGGAUGAAAUAUAAACUAUUUCAGUUAAUUAUAUUGAAAUUAAUUUUUGAGUUAAAAAGCUUAAAUAAUAAAAUUAGACGAGAAGACCCUUUAGAGUUUUAUAUAAAUUAAUUUUUUAUUUAUUAGUUUUAUUUAUUUAUAUAUAAAUUAAAUUAUAUUUUAUUGGGGUGAUAUUAAAAUUUAAUAAACUUUUAACUAAAUUAUCAAAUUAAAUGAAUUUUUGAUCCAUAAAUUAUGAUUAAAAAAUUAAAUUACCUAAGGGAUAACAGCGUAAUAUUAUUUAAAGUUCUUAUUAAAAAUAAUGUUUGCGACCUCGAUGUUGGAUUAA